CUCUAUGGCCAUACCCACCUGAAUACGCCCAAUCUCAUCUGAUGUCACAAGCUAAGCAGGGUCAGGCCUGGUUAGUACUUGGAUGGAAGACCACUGGGAAUACCAGGUGCUGUAGGCU
This 118-nucleotide ribosomal RNA is filed under the name Callithrix jacchus (white-tufted-ear marmoset). Lineage: Eukaryota; Metazoa; Chordata; Mammalia; Primates; Cebidae. The record is from RNAcentral.